This is a long non-coding RNA of Mus musculus (house mouse), 378 nucleotides long. RefSeq annotates it as predicted gene, 46451. Lineage: Eukaryota; Metazoa; Chordata; Mammalia; Rodentia; Muridae. The transcript is spliced from 3 exons. The record is from RefSeq and is a predicted model, not a curated record.
AGAGGACCUGCUUGUUUCAUUCCUAGUUCCCAAGUCGCUUACAAUCAUCUGUAACCCCAGGGCAGAACCUCUCAUUAUUCAUCUCUUUCCUGUGUAGAUUCCAGUUCCCUUAUCUUGGAGUCUGUCCUUCUGGUUUCUGUUGAAUGUUCUCACAAUUAAUAUCUAAGGACAGCUAUGCAGGGAGAGGGCAAGGGAUAGCCUCACUGAGAGAUCCCAAUUCCCUGGUCUCCUCUGCCAGCCACUUCUUUCCCACAGAGAAACUUCAGUGGGACAUCCAUGCCUGCUGUUGUAACUUUGACAGAUGCUGGACUGUGUUCCAGUGUCUGCCUGGAGCUGUAAACCAAAGUCUCCCCUCCCCCAGCCUGAAACCUGCUUGCU